RNAcentral lists this ribosomal RNA (483 nucleotides) under uncultured bacterium. Its description in RNAcentral is "partial 16S ribosomal RNA". It matches the Rfam family "Bacterial small subunit ribosomal RNA", at positions 30 to 507 of the family's 1533-position model. The record is from RNAcentral.
AUUGAACGCUGGCGGCAGGCCUAACACAUGCAAGUCGAGCGGAUGAAGGGAGCUUGCUCCUGGAUUCAGCGGCGGACGGGUGAGUAAUGCCUAGGAAUCUGCCUGGUAGUGGGGGAUAACGUCCGGAAACGGGCGCUAAUACCGCAUACGUCCUGAGGGAGAAAGUGGGGGAUCUUCGGACCUCACGCUAUCAGAUGAGCCUAGGUCGGAUUAGCUAGUUGGUGGGGUAAAGGCCUACCAAGGCGACGAUCCGUAACUGGUCUGAGAGGAUGAUCAGUCAAACUGGAACUGAGACACGGUCCAGACUCUUACGGAAGGCAGCAGUGGGAAUAUUGGACAAUGGGCGAAAGCCUGAUCCAGCCAUGCCGCGUGUGUGAAGAAGGUCUUCGGAUUGUAAAGCACUUUAAGUUGGGAGGAAGGGCAGUAAGUUAAUACCUUGCUGUUUUGACGUUACCAACAGAAUAAGCACCGGCUAACUUCGUG